CGUUCUCAGGGCGGGGUGCGAUUCCCCACCGGCGGUGAUACGCGGCAGGCCAGGCCUCUGCGUUAGCCCGCGAGCGCUUGCCUCGGCAAGGUCAGCAGACCCGGUGUGAUUCCGGGGCCGACGGUAUAGUCCGGAUGAGAGAGAGCG
RNAcentral lists this non-coding RNA (147 nucleotides) under uncultured Pseudomonas sp. Its description in RNAcentral is "FMN riboswitch (RFN element)". It matches the Rfam family "FMN riboswitch aptamer (RFN element)". Rfam says of the family: The RFN element is a highly conserved domain that is found frequently in the 5'-untranslated regions of prokaryotic mRNAs that encode for flavin mononucleotide (FMN) biosynthesis and transport proteins. Lineage: Bacteria; Pseudomonadati; Pseudomonadota; Gammaproteobacteria; Pseudomonadales; Pseudomonadaceae. The record is from RNAcentral.